This 421-nucleotide ribosomal RNA is filed under the name uncultured bacterium. RNAcentral describes it as "bacterial SSU rRNA". It matches the Rfam family "Bacterial small subunit ribosomal RNA", at positions 31 to 497 of the family's 1533-position model. The record is from RNAcentral.
GGAACGCUGCGGCAGGCUUAACACAUGCAAGUCGAGCGGGCGUAGCAAUACGUCAGCGGCAGACGGGAGAGUAACACGUGGGAACGCGCCCUUCGGUUCGGAAUAACUCAGGGAAACUUGAGCUUAAUACCGGAUACGCCCUAACGGGGAAAGAUUUAUCGCCGAAGGAACGGCCCGCGUCGGAUUAGCUAGUUGGUGAGGUAAUGGCUCACCAAGGCGACGAUCCGUAGCUGGUCUGAGAGGAUGACCAGCCUCACUGGGACUGAGACACGGCCCAGACUCCUACGGGAGGCAGCAGUGGGGAAUAUUGGACAAUGGGCGCAAGCCUGAUCCAGCCAUGCCGCGUGGAUGAUGAAGGCCUUAGGGUUGUAAAGUCCUUUUAACGGGGAAGAUAAUGACGGUACCCGUAGAAUAGCCCGGC